GAUGAACGCUGGCGGCGUGCCUAAUACAUGCAAGUCGAACGCACAGCGAAAGGUGCUUGCACCUUUCAAGUGAGUGGCGAACGGGUGAGUAACACGUGGACAACCUGCCUCAAGGCUGGGGAUAACAUUUGGAAACAGAUGCUAAUACCGAAUAAAACUCAGUGUCGCAUGACACAAAGUUAAAAGGCGCUUUGGCGUCACCUAGAGAUGGAUCCGCGGUGCAUUAGUUAGUUGGUGGGGUAAAGGCCUACCAAGACAAUGAUGCAUAGCCGAGUUGAGAGACUGAUCGGCCACAUUGGGACUGAGACACGGCCCAAACUCCUACGGGAGGCUGCAGUAGGGAAUCUUCCACAAUGGGCGAAAGCCUGAUGGAGCAACGCCGCGUGUGUGAUGAAGGCUUUCGGGUCGUAAAGCACUGUUGUAUGGGAAGAACAGCUAGAAUAGGGAGUGAUUUUAGUUUGACGGUACCAUACCAGAAAGGGACGGCUAAAUACGUGCCAGCCGCCGCAGUAA
Molecule: ribosomal RNA, 513 nt
Filed under: uncultured bacterium
Lineage: Bacteria
Description: partial 16S ribosomal RNA
Rfam family: Bacterial small subunit ribosomal RNA
Source: RNAcentral